This 253-nucleotide ribosomal RNA is filed under the name uncultured bacterium. RNAcentral's name for it is "partial 16S ribosomal RNA". It matches the Rfam family "Bacterial small subunit ribosomal RNA", at positions 524 to 776 of the family's 1533-position model. The record is from RNAcentral.
GACGAAGGGGGCUAGCGUUGUUCGGAAUUACUGGGCGUAAAGCGCGUGUAGGCGGUUGUCCAAGUUGGAUGUGAAAGCCUUGAGCUUAACUCAAGAAAUGCAUUCAGGACUGGAUGACUAGAGGACCGGAGAGGAUAGUGGAAUUCCCAGUGUAGUGGUGAAAUACGUAGAGAUUGGGAAGAACACCAGUGGCGAAGGCGGUUCUCUGGGCCUGUACUGACGCUGAGGAACGAAAGCGUGGGGAGCGAACAGG